GGCUCGUUGGUCUAAGGGUAUGCUUCUCGCUUUGAGUGCGAGAGGUCCAGGGUUCAAAUCCCAGAUGAGCCC
Non-coding RNA from Sinocyclocheilus grahami, 72 nucleotides. Lineage: Eukaryota; Metazoa; Chordata; Actinopteri; Cypriniformes; Cyprinidae. The record is from the annotation of a RefSeq genome assembly.